GAUGGAUUAUCCAAAUGGCUUACAUUUCGACGCAACAGGGUGUUGUUUCGCAGGGAUUAAGAUCGAUAAUACCCCAAACCCAAUCCAGCGAUUCGAACAACGACAGGUAAAUAUCAUCACCAAACAAACCCGCAACAACACCAUCAGUAUUAUUAACAGCGUCGAAAAAAAAA
This is a long non-coding RNA of Aedes aegypti (yellow fever mosquito), 173 nucleotides long. RefSeq lists it as uncharacterized. The record is from RefSeq and is a predicted model, not a curated record. The transcript is spliced from 2 exons. NCBI's taxonomy places the organism in Eukaryota, Metazoa, Arthropoda, Insecta, Diptera, Culicidae.